RNAcentral lists this ribosomal RNA (493 nucleotides) under uncultured bacterium. Its description in RNAcentral is "partial 16S ribosomal RNA". It matches the Rfam family "Bacterial small subunit ribosomal RNA", at positions 28 to 506 of the family's 1533-position model. The record is from RNAcentral.
GACGAACGCUGGCGGCGUGCUUAACACAUGCAAGUCGAACGGAAAGGCCUGCUUUCCCUUGUGGAUUGCGGGUACUCGAGUGGCGAACGGGUGAGUAACACGUGAGUGAUCUGCCCCCAACUUGGGUAUAAGCCUGGGAAACUGGGUCUAAUUCCCGAUAGGACUGCAGGGUGGUGCCUGUGGUGGAAAACGAUUUUCUAGUGGUUGGGGAUGAGCUCGCGGCCUAUCAGCUUGUUGGUGGGGUAAUGGCCUACCAAGGCGGCGACGGGUAGCCGGCCUGAGAGGGUGGACGGCCACAUUGGGACUGAGAUACGGCCCAGACUCCUACGGGAGGCAGCAGUGGGGAAUAUUGCACAAUGGGCGGAGGCCUGAUGCAGCGACGCCGCGUGGGGGAUGACGGCCUUCGGGUUGUAAACUCCUUUCGACCGCGAGGAAGCCACCUGGUUGGAAGGGUGGUGACGGUAGUGGUAGAAGAAGCACCGGCUAACUACGU